AACUCAUGUCUAGUAUAGCAUUAUACCGUGAAACUGCGAAUGGCUCAUUAAAUCAGUUAUCGUUUAUUUGAUAGUACCUUACCACUUGGAUAACCGUGGUAAUUCUAGAGCUAAUACAUGCUAAAAACCUCGACUUCGGAAGGGGUGUGUUUAUUAGAUAAAAAACCAAUGCCCUUCGGGGCUCUUUGGUGAUUCAUGAUAACCUAACGGAUCGCAUGGCCUUGCGCUGGCGACGGUUCAUUCAAAAUUUCUGCCCUAUCAACUUUCGAUGGUAAGGUAUUGGCUUACCAUGGUUUCAACGGGUAACGGGGAAUUAGGGUUCGAUUCCGGAGAGGGAGCCUGAGAAACGGCUACCACAUCCAAGGAAGGCAGCAGGCGCGCAAAUUACCCAAUCCCGACACGGGGAGGUAGUGACAAUAAAUACUGAUACAGGGCUCUUUUGGGUCUUGUAAUUGGAAUGAGUACAAUUUAAACCCCUUAACGAGGAACAAUUGGAGGGCAAGUCUGGUGCCAGCAGCCGCGGUAAUUCCAGCUCCAAUAGCGUAUAUUAAAGUUGUUGCAGUUAAAAAGCUCGUAGUUGAAACUUGGGUCUGGCUAGCGGGUCCGCCUCACCGCGUGCACUUGUCCGGCUGGACCUUUCCUUCUGGAGAACCUCAUGCCCUUCACUGGGUGUGUUGGGGAACCAGGACUUUUACUUUGAAAAAAAUUAGAGUGUUCAAAGCAGGCCUUUGCUCGAAUACGUUAGCAUGGAAUAAUAGAAUAGGACGUGCGGUCCUAUUUUGUUGGUUUCUAGGAUCGCCGUAGUGAUUAAUAGGGAUAGUCGGGGGGCAUCAGUAUUCAAUUGUCAGAGGUGAAAUUCUUGGAAUUUAUUGAAGACUAACUACUGCGAAAGCAUUUGCCAAGGAUGUUUUCAUUAAUCAGUGAACGAAAGUUGGGGGAUCGAAGACGAUCAGAUACCGUCGUAGUCUCAACCGUAAACUAUGCCGACUAGGGAUCGGGCGAUGUUUCUAUCUUGACUCGCUCGGCACCUUACGAGAAAUCAAAGUUUUUGGGUUCUGGGGGAGUAUUCGAACG
RNAcentral lists this ribosomal RNA (1074 nucleotides) under Byssosphaeria phoenicis. RNAcentral describes it as "SSU rRNA". It matches the Rfam family "Eukaryotic small subunit ribosomal RNA", at positions 56 to 1133 of the family's 1831-position model. The record is from RNAcentral. Lineage: Eukaryota; Fungi; Ascomycota; Dothideomycetes; Pleosporales; Melanommataceae.